Molecule: long non-coding RNA, 771 nt
Organism: Paramisgurnus dabryanus
Lineage: Eukaryota; Metazoa; Chordata; Actinopteri; Cypriniformes; Cobitidae
Source: RefSeq, a predicted model, not a curated record
CGCCACAGACACCUAUCAGCCUUUUGUAAGGAGGAGCAGCUCGAGUGCGGUGCGGUCAGUAGCCCUUCAAAUUAGAAAAGUGAGGAUGAUCUUGUCAAUGCUGAGAUUUUCAUGCAUCAGCAGCCACUACAUCUGGAUCAGAUUGAACAAGAAACAGACAGCAAGGGUUGUCAGAUCAGAAACAGAAUGACACACAAACACAAGAAACUUCACAGGCAGAUCAACAUGCAAUUUGAAGACGUGUGAUAAAAUACAGAGAGGUGAAGUAGUGUGUCUUUCCAGAUGCCCAAAUCAUUCCCCCUUAAAAGAUGAGCCUGAAGAGGAGAUUUGGGAAGAUGCUGUUUCAUAAGUCGCUUUGCCAGAUCACCUGUGGUCGGGAUGUCUGCUAACAAGAUGCCUUGCUGGUCUGAGCGAGUUUAAAGUCUUACACAGACAGUCCAGAAGUUCUGAAGUCCAUCUUCGAUUUCAUUGGACGCUUUAAGGUGUAGAAACAUCUCAGCAACCUCAAGAGAAAUUGGAGGCAACUGAGCUAAAUUGCAGAUGUUGUUGCAAAGGGUCUGAAUAUGUAUAAUAUGCUGUCAUCGUAUUAAGUACAGCAUGAGCCAGAAUAGAUGGGUGGUGGUGGCCAUAAGAAGACUGUCAACUAAACCAACAACAAAAUUCAUAUUUGCAGUUUUUCUUGAAUAAAGUUUUUCUAGUCAGAUUAAUAAAAUGACUUUUAAACAUGAUUUUGUUUCAUAUUUUAUGAUUUUAUUCUAUAUUUAGAAAAUU